AACGAACGCUGGCGGCAGGCCUAACACAUGCAAGUCGAGCGAGAUCUUCGGGUCUAGCGGCGGACGGGGGAGUAACGCGUGGGAAUAUGCCCUUCUCUGCGGAAUAGCCUCGGGAAACUGAGCGUAAUACCGCAUACGCCCUUUGGGGGAAAGAUUUAUCGGAGAAGGAUUAGCCCGCGUUGGAUUAGGUAGUUGGUGGGGUAACGGCCUACCAAGCCGACGAUCCAUAGCUGGUUUGAGAGGAUGAUCAGCCACACUGGGACUGAGACACGGCCCAGACUCCUACGGGAGGCAGCAGUGGGGAAUCUUAGACAAUGGGGGCAACCCUGAUCUAGCCAUGCCGCGUGAGUGAUGAAGGCCUUAGGGUUGUAAAGCUCUUUCAGCUGGGAAGAUAAUGACGGUACCAGCAGAAGAAGCCCCGGCUAACUCCGUG
This 433-nucleotide ribosomal RNA is filed under the name uncultured bacterium. Its description in RNAcentral is "partial 16S ribosomal RNA". It matches the Rfam family "Bacterial small subunit ribosomal RNA", at positions 29 to 507 of the family's 1533-position model. The record is from RNAcentral.